Engraulis encrasicolus (European anchovy) is the source of this 1386-nucleotide long non-coding RNA. RefSeq lists it as uncharacterized. NCBI's taxonomy places the organism in Eukaryota, Metazoa, Chordata, Actinopteri, Clupeiformes, Engraulidae. The transcript has 3 exons. The record is from RefSeq and is a predicted model, not a curated record.
GUAGAGCCAUUACUGAAGUGCUCCCUGACGUAAACUCGGAAGCGUAUGAAGUUACUGACUUUCACAUCAUCUUUGUACAAAUAUGUCUGGAUCUGGACUAACGUGUGCCGUAAUCGGAUGUAACAAUAACAGCAGAAAGCUAAAAAUGUGGAAAAAGAGCGUAUGUGCGCUUCAUAGUCCACAGUUUAAAAGAGGAUUGUCCAUGUUGUGUGCCCUACGGUGUACACCGCUUCCCCGGCCGUGCUGAGGAUGAAGACAUUCGCAAGAUGUGGAUUAAAAACGUACACCGAAAGGACUUUGCCCCCAAACAAGUAUUCAAGGGUGUGUGGAGUACACUUCCCUGACGGCAGACCAACGCAGGAACACCCAUAUCCCAUAAUAUGGGAUAUGAAUAUAGUAAAGCACCGUCAUGUGGAAGACCACCCCAAAGAGGAGAUGUCUCCAGCCCCCAACAGAGAGACCAUGUGAUGAGCCUCCUGUGACAGAUUCUGACACCGAAGUAGGGCAUAGCUUGGAGGAUAGUCUGUCUCCACACCAAUGUGAUGUUGGCACUCAGUGGCCAGAGCGUAGUGAUCAUGAUUGUUGUUCGAUGAAGUCAACAAAAGAUGCAAGCACACAAACCGAUCCUACACCAUCACUGUCAGAUCAUGACAUGGAUGAUAAAGUGUCAAAACUUUACACUGGACUAGACAUCAUCAGCUUUUGGCAACUUUUGAACACCAUCAUUGGCUUUCUUCCACAGUCGAAGACGUUCAAAUUACCAGUCCAUGAACAGCUAAGUGCUGGUCCUAAUGAGGCUUCGGCUUGGCUACAGCCUGUGAUAUGUCCGCAAUGUGGAGAGCAACACUUGCCAAUUUCACAAGGGAAAAUCUUAUUUUUUGGCUCCCUCGAGACACUCUGAAUAGAGUAAGACCCUCAAGUGUUCUUGAACACUAUCCCAAUGCAACAUGCAUCAUAGAUUGCACUGAAAUAUUUGUCCAAAGACCGAAGAACUUGGGGAAAAGAGCAAAAACAUACAGCAACUAUAAGCAUCACAACACCUACAAAGUCCUCUAUUGCAUAGCCCCCAAUGGUUUUGUGAUGUAUGUGUCAAAACUGUUUGGUGGCAGAGCUAGUGACACUUUUAUCUUAAACUGUGGAUUUCUGGUGAUCAGAUUUUGACAGACCGGGGAUACACAAUUGGAGAUGUUCUUCCUCCAGGAGUGACAUUGGCUAUUCCAGCAUUUACACGUGGAUGUACACAACUAUCAGAACAUGAAGUCACAGGAACCCGCCGUCUCGCCAAUGUCCGAAUUCAUGUUGAACGUGCAAUAAGAAGGUUAAAAUGCUUCAAAAUUUUGAGUAAUGUAAUUCCAGGUUGAUUAAAACAUGUUGAUGACAUUUUGA